GACGAACGCUGGCGGCGUGCUUAACACAUGCAAGUCGAGCGAUGAAGUUCCUUCGGGAACGGAUUAGCGGCGGACGGGUGAGUAACACGUGGGUAACCUGUCUCAUAGAGGGGAAUAGCCUUUCGAAAGGAAGAUUAAUACCACAUAAGAUUGUAGCUUCGCAUGGAGUAGCAAUUAAAGGAGUAAUCCGCUAUGAGAUGGACCCGCGUCGCAUUAGCUAGUUGGUGAGGUAACGGCUCACCAAGGCGACGAUGCGUAGCCGACCUGAGAGGGUGAUCGGCCACAUUGGGACUGAGACACGGCCCAGACUCCUACGGGAGGCAGCAGUGGGGAAUAUUGCACAAUGGGGGAAACCCUGAUGCAGCAACGCCGCGUGAGUGAUGACGGUCUUCGGAUUGUAAAACUCUGUCUUCAGGGACGAUAAUGACGGUACCUGAGGAGGAAGCCACGGCUAACUACGUGCCAGCCGCCGCGGUAA
Molecule: ribosomal RNA, 478 nt
Filed under: uncultured bacterium
Lineage: Bacteria
Description: partial 16S ribosomal RNA
Rfam family: Bacterial small subunit ribosomal RNA
Source: RNAcentral